GCCCGUGUGGCGAAAUUGGUCAUCGCACCCGACUCUUAGGAUCUUCAACAGCUCCAUCGGGCGAUUGCGGGUUCGAGUCCCGCCAUGGGCU
Molecule: transfer RNA, 91 nt
Filed under: Kwoniella heveanensis CBS 569
Lineage: Eukaryota; Fungi; Basidiomycota; Tremellomycetes; Tremellales; Cryptococcaceae
Also listed under: 2 other names
Description: tRNA-Lys
Rfam family: tRNA
About the family: Transfer RNA (tRNA) molecules are approximately 80 nucleotides in length. Their secondary structure includes four short double-helical elements and three loops (D, anti-codon, and T loops). Further hydrogen bonds mediate the characteristic L-shaped molecular structure. tRNAs have two regions of fundamental functional importance: the anti-codon, which is responsible for specific mRNA codon recognition, and the 3' end, to which the tRNAs corresponding amino acid is attached (by aminoacyl-tRNA synthetases). tRNAs cope with the degeneracy of the genetic code in two manners: having more than one tRNA (with a specific anti-codon) for a particular amino acid; and 'wobble' base-pairing, i.e. permitting non-standard base-pairing at the 3rd anti-codon position.
Source: RNAcentral